Molecule: ribosomal RNA, 251 nt
Filed under: uncultured bacterium
Lineage: Bacteria
Description: partial 16S ribosomal RNA
Rfam family: Bacterial small subunit ribosomal RNA
Source: RNAcentral
CGGGGGGGGUAAGCGUUGUUCGGAAUUACUGGGCGUAAAGGGCUCGUAGGCGGCCAACUAAGUCGGACGUGAAAUCCCUCAGCUUAACUGGGGAACUGCGUCCGAUACUGGAUGGCUUGGAUUUGGGAGAGGGAUGCGGAAUUCCAGGUGUAGCGGUGAAAUGCGUAGAUAUCUGGAGGAACACCGGUGGCGAAGGCGGCAUCCUGGACCAAUAUUGACGCUGAGGAGCGAAAGCCAGUGGAGCAAACGGG